CUAUAGCUCAGUAGGUAGAGCAACUGAUUCGUAAUCAGUAGGUCACAGGUUCGACUCCUGCUGGG
RNAcentral lists this transfer RNA (65 nucleotides) under uncultured Clostridium sp. It matches the Rfam family "tRNA", at positions 5 to 66 of the family's 71-position model. From Rfam's summary of the family: Transfer RNA (tRNA) molecules are approximately 80 nucleotides in length. Lineage: Bacteria; Bacillati; Bacillota; Clostridia; Eubacteriales; Clostridiaceae. The record is from RNAcentral.